AGUUGUAUCCUGGCUCAGGAUGAACGCUGGCGGUAUGCCUAACACAUGCAAGUCGUACGAGAAUUUAUUCAAGUGGCGGACGGGUGAGUAACACGUGAGAAUUUGCCUUUAGGAGGGGGACAACAGUGGGAAACCGCUGCUAAUACCCCAUAUGCUUUCGAGUAAAAUGGAUUUAUCCGCCUAGAGGGAAGCUCGCGGCUGAUUAGCUUGUUGGUAAGGUAAUGGCUUACCAAGGCGACGAUCAGUAUCUGGUUUGAGAGGAUGAUCAGACACACUGGAACUGAGACACGGUCCAGACUCCUACGGGAGGCAGCAGUGGGGAAUUUUCCGCAAUGGGCGAAAGCCUGACGGAGCAAUACCGCGUGAGGGAAGACUGCCUAUGGGUUGUAAACCUCUUUUCUCAGGGAGGAACAUAAUGACGUGUACCUGAGGAAUAAGCAUCGGCUAACUCCGUGCCAGCAGCCGCGGUAAGACGGAGGAUGCAAGUGUUAUCCGGAAUCACUGGGCGUAAAGCGUCUGUAGGUUGUUUGAUAAGUCAACUGUUAAAUCUUGAAGCUCAACUUCAAAAUCGCAGUCGAAACUAUUAGACUAGAGUAUAGUAGGGGUAAAGGGAAUUUCCAGCGGAGCGGUGAAAUGCGUAGAGAUUGGAAAGAACACCGAUGGCGAAGGCACUUUACUGGGCUAUUACUGACACUCAGAGACGAAAGCUAGGGUAGCAAAUGGGAUUAGAUACCCCAGUAGUCCUAGCUGUAAACAAUGGAUACUAGAUGUUGGGCAGAUCGACCUGUUCAGUAUCAAAGCUAACGCGUUAAGUAUCCCCGCCUG
Molecule: ribosomal RNA, 825 nt
Filed under: uncultured bacterium
Lineage: Bacteria
Description: bacterial SSU rRNA
Rfam family: Bacterial small subunit ribosomal RNA
Source: RNAcentral